RNAcentral lists this ribosomal RNA (274 nucleotides) under uncultured bacterium. Its description in RNAcentral is "partial 16S ribosomal RNA". It matches the Rfam family "Bacterial small subunit ribosomal RNA", at positions 523 to 796 of the family's 1533-position model. The record is from RNAcentral.
AUACGGAGGGUGCAAGCGUUAUUCGGAAUCACUGGGCGUAAAGGACGCGUAGGCGGGUUGGCAAGUCAGAUGUGAAAUCCUACAGUUUAACUGUAGAACUGCAUUUGAAACUGCUAACCUAGAGUAUGGGAGGGGGAGAUGGAAUUAGUGGUGUAGGGGCAAAAUCCGUAGAUAUCACUAGGAAUACCGAAAGCGAAGGCGAUCUCCUGGAACAUAACUGACGCUAAGGCGUGAAAGCGUGGGGAGCAAACAGGAUUAGAAACCCUAGUAGUCC